Molecule: transfer-messenger RNA, 358 nt
Filed under: Planctomycetales bacterium
Lineage: Bacteria; Pseudomonadati; Planctomycetota; Planctomycetia; Planctomycetales
Rfam family: transfer-messenger RNA
About the family: Bacterial tmRNA, also known as 10Sa RNA or SsrA, is named for its dual tRNA and mRNA-like properties. Its role is to liberate the mRNA from a stalled ribosome.
Source: RNAcentral
GGGGGCGAACCGGGUUCGACCGUGCUAGUGAACAUUAAGUUGCGUGUCGUUGUUGGUCAGCGGGCAACGUAAAAAGCCGACUACUAAAUUCAAAUGCCGAACCAAAAUUGGCAUUGGCUGCUUGAUAAAAAGCAACCCCGAAACUAUGCUGCCGCCGAAGCGGUGUAACUUUCGGACGUAAUUUCGGACCGCUUCCGUUCACGCCAAAUACGGCGGAAGUUAAAUUCGUCUUUGGACCGUCCUCAAAAGACCGUCGCCGACAAGGGCUGGAGAGGACUAAAACUUAAAGAAUCGGACACACACGUAGACGCUUGAUCGGAUCGGUUUCGGGACGCGGGUUCAAUUCCCGCCGCCUCCA